CCUACGGGUGGCAGCAGUGAGGAAUAUUGGUCAAUGGGCGAGAGCCUGAACCAGCAAAGCCGCGUGAGGGAGUACUGCCCUAUGGGUUGUAAACCUCUUUUGUCGGGGAGCAAAAGCCGGACGUGUCCGGCUGUGAGAGUACCCGAAGAAAAAGCAUCAGCUAACUCCGUGCCAGCAGCCGCGGUAAUACGGAGGAUGCGAGCGUUAGCCGUGUUUAUUGGGUUUAUAGGGUGCGCAGGCGGAUUUUUAAGUCAGCGGUAAAAUCGUGGGGCUCAACCCCAUCCAGCCGUUGAAACUGGGGAUCUAGAGUGUGCGAGAGGUAAGCGGAAUUCGUGGUGUAGCGGUGAAAUGCAUAGAUAUCACGCAGAACCCCGAUUGCGAAGGCAGCAUACCGGUGCACAACUGACGCUCAGGCACGAAAGCGUGGGUAGCGAACAGGAUUAGAUACCCUAGUAGUC
RNAcentral lists this ribosomal RNA (458 nucleotides) under uncultured bacterium. Its description in RNAcentral is "partial 16S ribosomal RNA". It matches the Rfam family "Bacterial small subunit ribosomal RNA", at positions 338 to 795 of the family's 1533-position model. The record is from RNAcentral.